UAGGGAAUCUUCCACAAUGGACGCAAGUCUGAUGGAGCAACGCCGCGUGAGUGAAGAAGGUUUUCGGAUCGUAAAGCUCUGUUGUUGGUGAAGAAGGAUAGAGGCAGUAACUGGUCUUUAUUUGACGGUAAUCAACCAGAAAGUCACGGCUAACUACGUGCCAGCAGCCGCGGUAAUACGUAGGUGGCAAGCGUUGUCCGGAUUUAUUGGGCGUAAAGCGAGCGCAGGCGGAAUGAUAAGUCUGAUGUGAAAGCCCACGGCUCAACCGUGGAGCUGCGUCAGAAACUGUCAUUCUUGAGUGUAGUAUAGGAGUGUGGAAUUCCAGUUGUGGCGGUGGAAUGCGUAGAUAUAUGGAAGAGCACCAGUGGCGAGGGCGGCUCUCUGGUCUGCAACUGACGCUGAGGCUCGAAAGCAUGGGUAGCGAACAGG
RNAcentral lists this ribosomal RNA (429 nucleotides) under bacterium. Its description in RNAcentral is "partial 16S ribosomal RNA". It matches the Rfam family "Bacterial small subunit ribosomal RNA", at positions 355 to 776 of the family's 1533-position model. The record is from RNAcentral.